RNAcentral lists this ribosomal RNA (253 nucleotides) under uncultured bacterium. RNAcentral's name for it is "partial 16S ribosomal RNA". It matches the Rfam family "Bacterial small subunit ribosomal RNA", at positions 524 to 776 of the family's 1533-position model. The record is from RNAcentral.
UACGUAGGUGGCGAGCGUUGUCCGGAAUUACUGGGCGUAAAGCGCACGCAGGCGGUCUGCUAAGUUUGGAGUGACAGUUGGUGGCUCAACCACCAAAGUGCUUUGAAAACUGACAGACUUGAGGGCUUCAGAGGGACACGGAAUUCCGGGUGGAGUGGUGAAAUGCGUAGAGAUCCGGAGGAACACCAAAGGCGAAGGCAGUGUCCUGGGGAGUACCUGACGCUCAGGUGCGAAAGCCAGGGGAGCGAACGGG